Long non-coding RNA from Oncorhynchus masou masou (cherry salmon), 3465 nucleotides. RefSeq lists it as uncharacterized. The transcript has 2 exons. Lineage: Eukaryota; Metazoa; Chordata; Actinopteri; Salmoniformes; Salmonidae. The record is from RefSeq and is a predicted model, not a curated record.
CUGAAAAUUUGUGCAGGAAUGCCAAAUUGACUGGCCCGAUGAACUCGGGAUGGCUCGGCAGUGAUUCUGGUACCUCUCCAUCGCUCAUUAGGGUUGAUUUCAGAAUGUCCAUUUGGUAAUGUUUUCUCACUCUUUCAAAGUCACUGUGCUUUUGCCAUAUGGUUAACUGGGCAUUCACCAUCACCAAUUUGUCAUGCCAUAAAAAUAAUGCAGGAAUGCCAAAUUGACUGGCCCGAUGACCUCGGGAUGGCUGGGCAGUGAUUUUGGUACCUCUCCAUCGCUCAUUUGGGUUGAUUUCAGAAUGUCGCUUUUGGUGAUGGUACCUCACUGUUAAAACAUAUUGCAAAUGUUUCUCACUUUUGCAAAGUCACUGUGCAUUUGCCAUAUGGUUAAGCGAGCUACGGUCAAGCGGGGCACCUCGUUGGACUCGGCACGGCCUUGGGAUUAUGUUUAUGCCAUUGCCUGCUCUCUGUGUCUUUAAACACCACGCUUUGUCACUCCAUCCUUGCUGUGUGUGUGUGUGAGAGCUUUUCUUUGACAUCUGUUGGGAAAAAUGACUGAUUUACAGUUCAUGGGGGUUGUCUAAUCACACAUAUGAAGUUUUGGACAGAUCUGAUUUUUUUAACCCUUCCAAACAGCCCCUGAGACACCAAUUAUGGCACUUCCGGUUGGCACAGGAAGCUAUAAAUACACACAUGUCUUGACUGACAUAGAAACCUACGGAAUCCUGAGUUUUAAGUCUUUAAGUUGAGAAUUGACUGAUCUACACAGGGUUGAAUAAUGCAGAGUCAUUUUCACCUUUCGAGGUGAUGUACAUCCAAAUAUCUUUUGGGUCAAUUUAACCACUUCCGGUUGCUCCAGGAAGCUUAGAAUCGACACAGGUAGACCUCAUAGUGGUCUGAUGGAAUGUCAUAGAAGACAGGUUCAUACAGCAUUCAUAACCCAUAUAGACUCCAGGUUGUAUUUAGGGGAGCAGGCAAUGUAUUCCUAUGGGGAGAGAAGUCAAUGCACACUGUUUUUAUGUAAACACCUUCUUUUAACUGUGAAAGGUUAAUGCCACACAGUCAAGGUUAGGCUUGCACAGAUCGGGAGGACCUUAGGAACAGUCCUGUGGUUGAAUUGUCUUUCUAAACCUAACGGUUCCGCCGCUGUCACCCAAAAUCAAAUGACAUUGACAACUAUUUGCAACUGUUGGCCUAAUGAUUACACUCCAGAUCAGCUAGAUGCUGGCAAGAGUGUGUAAGGCGGUAUUGAAUGUGUCAAUAUCUGUCACCUUGAUUACUAAAAUUUCUCAACCUGUGUACCUAUGUUGUAAACGUUAAUUCAUAUGCUAGGUUGUAACAACCUCAUGGUGGGUAUAGGAAACAUUUGAGUAUCAUGCAGUAGCCUAAACCUAUCGAUGUUACGUCGAGCUGGGUUAAUGGAAUACAAAUAACAGUCGUUCAAUAUGCUGUAAAAUAAAUAUUGUAAGGCCAUGCUCACAAAAAAAUAAUCGUCAUCCCUCAUCUUAAACGGCAGCAACCGCUACUGGUAUGUGUAGUAAUUCAGGCUCAUCGCUCUGGCUGUAGCUUGUGUUGUCUGUGUGUGUUUGUGUUUCACGUGUGUAUUGUCUAACCUGGUUUGUCUCUCCUCCAGUCUGUGUGGUGGAGCAGUUAUCGAGUGCAGACUUCUUCUCUGAGUCCAUCCCUAAAAGCUGUCUGUUCAGUACGAUCCACGACGCGGUGCUACACAGCCUCCGACUGCAUGGGGCCUCAGACGUACCCAUCAUCUACGAGUAUGCUCUGGACUUGGCCUGCACUACCAAGAUGUAACCAACAGGGGUCACAUUGUACCUCUUCCACUCCACCUACCUCCUUCCAUCCCUCCGCUGCCUAGCUUCCCAUUGGUUCCCCUCACCUCUUCCCCUCUGUGAAAGAGAAUGCACCACCACCGUGUGUGCUUUUUUAAUUUUUAGGUUGGACCAAGGCAGUUCCCCCGUCACGUUAUGUUUAAUAACUGAAGCCAAAAUACCUCCCCAAAAUAUUUGUCAGACACCUGAGAUGUGUAGUCUAGUCAGCAGUUCUCUUCGCCUCCCCCAUCAUCCUAUUUAAUCCAUUCCUCCUGGGGCCAGUGUAACCCAAACAGUAGUAUAUCCUGUACCAGUCAAAAGUUUGGAUACACCUACUCAUUCAAGCGUUUCUCUUAAUUUUUCCUAUUUUCUACAUUGUAGAAUAAUAGUGAAGACAUCAAAACUAUGAAAUAACAUAUAUGGAAUCAUGUAGUAACCAAAAAAGUUUUCAAAUCAAAACGUAUUUUAUAUUUGAAUUUCUUCAAGUUAGCCACCCAUUGCCUUGAUGGCACACUCUUGGCAUUCUCUCAACUAGCUUGAUGAGGUAGCUUCACGUGGAAUGCAUUACAAUUAGCAGUUGUACUUUGUGUAAGUUUUUAUUCUUCAUACAUUUGAGCCAAUCAGUUGUGUUUUAAAAAAUAAAAUAAAACCCUUGAAUGUAUUUUUUGUAGGUUUCCAAACUUUAGACUGGUACUGUAUAUAUAUAAAUAUAACACCCUUGCCUUUCAUGAACUAACACAUACACUUGCCCUUCCCAUUUUAGCACUGACUUUGCUGAUAGCUACUUUAUUGAGGAAAAAUGUACUUACUAUUACUGAGCUGUGUGGUUGUCCCACCUAGCUAUCUUAAGAUGAAUGCACUAACUGUAAGUUGCUCUGUAUAAGUGUCUGCUAAAUGACCUAAAUGUAAAUUAUAAUUGCUUUAAUAACAUUAGCUCUAGCUAACUCCUGUCUCUCUUAAGCUGGGGUUAUAUGGUUUAAUGCAAAGGUAAAAACAUACAAUGUGUAAUUUCUUACGCCUCACUGCUGAUGUAAUCAUAAUGAUGUUGAAAAGUACGUAAAUUACCCUAAGACAGACACAUGAUAGUUCAAUAUCCACUGAAUGAAUAGCAGCUUUUCACUCUGUUAUCCAAAAGUGUUUGUGUCAUAUCACUUGCAACUUUGCAAAUAUUUACUACAUGUUAGCUACUUUGCAACAACAUAGCAGCCUUCCACUAACCCCUAGCCUAGCUAACAUUAGUCUCAACAAAUUGGAAUUCAUAACAUAUCAUAAUAAAUGACAGGAGACAGACUUACAUUUUCUACCACUGAGUCCAGGUUUGCAUCACGUAGCCUUGAACCACAUCUAUACAUCAUCAUGUAUUUCAGGGUCAAAUCAAUUUCAAAGGGUGUAUAGUUUUCACCUAGUUUGAACACUGUCAUAGAGCUAAUCUCUUUGUAUUUUUCUAAAGAGGAUGUGAAUAAUUCAUGUUAAUGUGAAUUUUGAACAUUUUACUAAAUUGUUAAUUUCCUGAUCUAAUUCAUCUACUUUGAAUAUGAUUUGUAAUUUUCUAGCAUUGAUCGAACACACAGUCCAAUAUCUUAAAGUAAAUAAUUAUUGUUUCUGAGCACAUGGCUAAAUAAACACCAGUAAUGUGA